Non-coding RNA from Cyanistes caeruleus (blue tit), 2571 nucleotides. The record is from RefSeq and is a predicted model, not a curated record. Lineage: Eukaryota; Metazoa; Chordata; Aves; Passeriformes; Paridae.
CAUCUUUAAUAUACACCGUGGCACUAUCUCUUCUUGAGCAUGCAAGGACUUUGAUGAAUGCACUCCAGCCACCACAGUUUUUUCAUACCAGGUAUCUAUUGAUUCCCAUAAUAUCAACUUUCACCACUGGCACCACUUGUUAGAAUUCCUCUGCUUGGUUUUAAAAGCCGUCUGUGCUGCUCAGCUCUUUCCCAGCAGCUCUUUUCAGGAUUCUCUGUGGAUUCUUUGAUCAAUCCCACCUGCCCAGCUCAGGAAGGACGUGUCCCAGUUCCUGCAGCUCCCCAGUGAGGUACAGCAGAGCUGCCCCACAGCUCUCCCUUGGUCCUGAGCACGGAGAAUCGAGUGGGCAGCUGGCCCUGAGCAGGAUGAUGUCCAGUGCAGAGAAACCAGCCAGCUCUUUCUGUCAGAGGAAAGGAAUGGUUUGACCUUGACCUGGUUCAGAGAUGAUCACAGAGCAGAUUAAAGGGCCUGAGAGCUGUGUCCAGCCAUGCUGCAGCUGUGUGUGAGUGACCAUGGCUCCAUGGUGACCAGCUCAUGUGAGUGACCAUGGUGAGCAGCUCAGGUGAGUGACCACACUGCCAUGGUGACCAGUUCACAUGGGUGACCACACUGCCAUGGUGACCAGUUCACGUGGGUGACCACACUGCCAUGGUGAGCAGCUCAUGUGGGUGACCAUAGUGACCAGCUCAUGUGAGUGACCACACUGCCAUGGUGACCAGCUCAUGUGAGUGACCAUGGUGACCAGCUCGUGUGAGUGACCAUGGUGACCAGCUCAUGUUAUCUGCUGUUUAUUCCUCUGUGAAGCUGGCAGGUCUGAAUAAUCAGCUUUUAAAGUUUUUGACACAGUAAAGGUGCACAGAGUGCAGGCUCCUUCUGCAGAAAAUCCCAGCAAGCUGGCAGUGGAUAAAGUCUGAGCUUCUGUUAUUUUUGCCAAGUUACUUUCCAUAGUGGCAGACUACAGUCCAAGGUGAGCAGAUAUUCAUGAAGGCUUUUAAAAUGCUGUCUGAAAUCAGGUCCCUGCUCUGUCAAUCUGCUGACCUGGAAUUGAAAGGCUUUUGUGACAUUUUUAAGUCCCUCAGUCCCAGAAUCUGCUGAGAAAUCCCUGGUAGCAAGGGCAGUCUGAGUGAAACACAGUUUCAUUAGCAAAUACAUUUCUGUUCCCUUUGAGAACUGCAUAUCCAGCUGCAAUUUGCCAUUUCAGUUUACAGGGCUGGUAUAUCACUGUUAGCUCAUGCAUUGGGAAGCAACCUGCAGCAAAAACAAAGCCACUGGACAUAUUUACCUACCAAUAAAACCCCCUUCCCCCUGGAAUAUUUCCAGCUGACCUUUCUGGUCUCGUUAACUGGAGAAGGGGAUGUUACUGAGAUUGUUUUAGAUGCAAUCAUUGCUUGAACAUGACAUUUAGGGCUCCUGUAAAGGUGAGACACAGCAAGGCACCUUUUCCCCAUCACUGCCUCACAUUUCUUCCCAUGCUCCUUUAUCCUCAGCUGUCCCUGAACACAUCUCCUACCCAAGAACCUCUCCAGAGGUUGCAGCAGAUUUUCAGGCUGUGGGAAGUUUGAGCUGUUAAGAAGACAAGCACAGCACUAAUAAAAUCUAAACACUUAUAGUCAAAUCUUAUUCCUGAUGCUGCUAAAUGGGAACUUACAGCUUAACAUAAUAGGCAAUUUAGCAUACAAAUGUGCCCCAUAAAAGCAAGGAUGUUGGCAGUGCAAAGCCAUAAAUGUUAACCUUUGGGCAAGCUGUUACAAAUGUGCCACAGGCUCUUGCAAUUUUAAUGAACUUGUUUGCACACACGAGGUUUAUAUUGUGCCAAACAUGGGGAUGCACACAUCGAGGAACACCUCCAAAAAUUCCCCUGUUUGGGAGUUCAGCAUCUCCCACUCAUCUGCCUUCAGAGGUUUGCAGCAGCAGGUAAGGAAAAUGGCCUUUUUGCCUUCAGAAAUGUGAUGGAAAAACAAUGCAUAACUCUCCUGACAGUGUUAGAGAAUAUAGGAAAUAUUUUAUAAGGACAAGUGUUUGCACUCAAGCCUUAUAUUCUGGACAAGCACAGAUGAUAAUGAAUGUGAUUUUCCCGAGUUGUGGUUUCAUUAUUUUUUGGUAAGUUCCUAGAAAGGCACAGGUUGUUGAAAAUGUGAGAAAUCCAUAGCAAUUCCAACCCCAAAUCAGGGCUAAUAGUUAUCUUAUGGACUAGUAGGCACCUGUGACCUUUCCUUGUAAGCAAUUUGGGUUUGAUGAAUCAAUGUCUAAGCAUCCUCACAAUCAAAUAAUCCUGCAGAGCAACCAAAUUAAGUUGCUCCAUUUCAGGGAAGCACUUGGAAAAAACCCACACACUUUCAAGCAGCUUUGUUAGUCCUGAGCACUCACAAUCAGCCUUGGUGCUGGGCAUGUUUUCAGUCCAAGUCUCUCACGUUUUUUUGGCAUUGGAAGGCCUCUUCAUUCCAAAGCAGAAUUAUUCAGACCUGCUCUUUCAAGCAAAAUGUGUGAAAGAUGAAUCAUUAAAAAAAAAAAUAAAAAGAGAUGAUGCCUCAGUCUUAUCUGACUCCGCUGCCAAAUUUUCUUCACCUUGUG